UCUGCUCAGUGCCAGACAUCUGGAUAUUUAGAAAACAUCUGGGUGGCUGGAUUUUUCAGGUUUCUGCCUGACAUUUAAUAUCACAAACACGGAGCCUGCCUCCCGUCCCUCACCUCCCAAACACACCCAGCCCCUUCCCCGCACCCCACCCCCCUUCCCUGAUGGGUAAGAAACAUCCAUUCUUUCCAAUUCCCCAGCGUUUCCCCCCUACCGGAAAUCUGAUGGGCUUAUGACAUCAUGGCUGGCUGCUGAGCGAUGAAGUGGAUGCCACAAAGAAAUCCGACAUAUCAGAUGGAUUCUGAAAUCAGUUUCCCUCUGGCUGCGGUAACAGGCGUGAAGUCAGGAGAAUCAAACAGACCUUUUGGACAUCAUCCGAUUUUAAUAAAGACGCUGGCGUGUAUGAAAUGAAAGCGGCUAAUAAAUCAGACCUGAAGCUGCCUGUGAACAUU
Long non-coding RNA from Panthera uncia (snow leopard), 449 nucleotides. RefSeq lists it as uncharacterized. NCBI's taxonomy places the organism in Eukaryota, Metazoa, Chordata, Mammalia, Carnivora, Felidae. The transcript is spliced from 2 exons. The record is from RefSeq and is a predicted model, not a curated record.